AUUGAACGCUGGCGGCAGGCCUAACACAUGCAAGUCGAGCGGAUGAAGGGAGCUUGCUCCUGGAUUCAGCGGCGGACGGGUGAGUAAUGCCUAGGAAUCUGCCUGGUAGUGGGGGAUAACGUCCGGAAACGGGCGCUAAUACCGCAUACGUCCUGAGGGAGAAAGUGGGGGAUCUUCGGACCUCACGCUAUCAGAUGAGCCUAGGUCGGAUUAGCUAGUUGGUGGGGUAAAGGCCUACCAAGGCGACGAUCCGUAACUGGUCUGAGAGGAUGAUCAGUCACACUGGAACUGAGACACGGUCCAGACUCCUACGGGAGGCAGCAGUGGGGAAUAUUGGACAAUGGGCGAAAGCCUGAUCCAGCCAUGCCGCGUGUGUGAUGAAGGUCUGCGGAUUGUAAAGCACUUUAAGUUGGGAGGAAGGGCAGUAAGUUAAUACCUUGCUGUUUUGACGUUACCAACAGAAUAAGCACCGGCUAACUUCGU
Molecule: ribosomal RNA, 483 nt
Filed under: uncultured bacterium
Lineage: Bacteria
Description: partial 16S ribosomal RNA
Rfam family: Bacterial small subunit ribosomal RNA
Source: RNAcentral